Molecule: ribosomal RNA, 503 nt
Filed under: uncultured microorganism
Description: bacterial SSU rRNA
Rfam family: Bacterial small subunit ribosomal RNA
Source: RNAcentral
GAGUUUGGUCCUGGCUCAGGAUGAACGCUGGCGGCGUGCUUAACACAUGCAAGUCGAACGAAGCGCCUUAUUUGAUUUUCUUCGGAACUGAAGAUUUGGUGACUGAGUGGCGGACGGGUGAGUAACGCGUGGUAACCUGCCCUGUACAGGGGGAUAACAAUCAGAAAUGACUGCUAAUACCGCAUAAGACCACAGCACCGCAUGGUGCAGGGGUAAAAACUCCGGUGGUACAGGAUGGACCCGCGUCUGAUUAGCUGGUUGGUGAGGUAACGGCUCACCAAGGCGACGAUCAGUAGCCGGCUUGAGAGAGUGAACGGCCACAUUGGGACUGAGACACGGCCCAAAACUCCUACGGGAGGCAGCAGUGGGGAAUAUUGCACAAUGGGGGAAACCCUGAUGCAGCAACGCCGCGUGAGUGAAGAAGUAUUUCGGUAUGUAAAAGCUCUAUCAGCAGGGAAGAAAAGUGACGGUACCUGACUAAAGAAGCCCCGGCUAACUACGUG